CCUGGAACUGUGCACAGGGAACACACGUGUUUCCGUUUCAACGAAAACAACACAGCUUCACUGUCACAGCAAAGGCUUGUUUUAUACAUCUUUAAAACGACCUGAUGUCAGAAGAAGAUACCCUGGAAUUCCUGUUGCAGGAUGACCCAAACGAUCAUGCAUUCAGUAUAAACAUGAACAUGAUGUUGUCCACUAAGCUAAUGGUGGGGAUCGUAGCACUACCCUGCACACAGACAUGGAAUGAAUCUGCCUAGUCCAUUAUCAGAAGAGUGACCGGGACUGUUUGUCCCAUCAGAGAAGUUUCUCGAGAAGCAUGACAAGGGACUUGUAUGAAUGGGCAGAAGAAAUUUUCUUAACUGACUAUCCCAUCAUUGCCUGCUGUUGGAGACUGAACACUUUAUUGAAAAUCGCUGGGGUGUAGCAAACAGUGGGUGUCAUUGCCCUGAGAAGAGUCAGAGAAGGACUUGUAUGAAUGGGCAGAAAAAAUUUUCUUCACUGGAUAUCCCUUCAUUGCCUGCUGUUGGAGACUGAACACUUUAUUGAAAAUUGCUGGGGUGUAGCAAACAGUGGGUGUCAUCGCCCUGAGAAGAGUCAGAGAAGUAUUCAUUUUUACUUUAAAAAGUUUAGUUCAUGUAAAGAGCAUGAAGGCAGAUUUUACAGUUAUCUCCCUUAGACUAUGUAAAUUAUAAUACAGCUCUCGCUAAUGAUG
Molecule: long non-coding RNA, 709 nt
Organism: Ostrea edulis (European flat oyster)
Lineage: Eukaryota; Metazoa; Mollusca; Bivalvia; Ostreida; Ostreidae
Exons: 4
Source: RefSeq, a predicted model, not a curated record